RNAcentral lists this ribosomal RNA (414 nucleotides) under uncultured bacterium. Its description in RNAcentral is "bacterial SSU rRNA". It matches the Rfam family "Bacterial small subunit ribosomal RNA", at positions 355 to 786 of the family's 1533-position model. The record is from RNAcentral.
UGGGGAAUAUUGCACAAUGGGGGAAACCCUGAUGCAGCGACGCCGCGUGAGCGAUGAAGUAUUUCGGUAUGUAAAGCUCUAUCAGCAGGGAAGAAAAUGACGGUACCUGACUAAGAAGCCCCGGCUAACUACGUGCCAGCAGCCGCGGUAAUACGUAGGGGGCAAGCGUUAUCCGGAUUUACUGGGUGUAAAGGGAGCGUAGACGGGUAUACAAGUUAGUAGUGAAAUCCCUCGGCUUAACUGAGAAACUGCUACUAAAACUAUAUAUCUUGAGUACUGGAGGGGAAAGCGGAAUUCCUAGUGUAGCGGUGAAAUGCGUAGAUAUUAGGAGGAACACCAGUGGCGAAGGCGGCUUACUGGACGGUAACUGACGUUGAGGCUCGAAAGCGUGGGGAGCAAACAGGAUUAGAUACC